UUGCCUUACAUGGGCAUAGGCGACAUCUGGAUAAGACUGUAACAUCUGUAGUACUUAGCCAAUGAGGAACCAGGGGAGGGACUUGCACUCUAGGAGAUAAAUUGCCUGCUGUAACUGCCCCGAGUGUGCCUGUCUAUCAGACACCUGCUUUUGCUAGAACGUUGAUUAAAACCUCGCUUCACUGUGCUCCAAGUCUCUGCAUCCCUCCUUUGAUUGGAUCAGUGAACUUAUUGUUCACAUUUGGGGGCUCGUCCGGGAUUGAUCUUGACCUGUGGGGUCCAGGUCCUGUGAGAUGGGAGACACAGCCCACUCCAGUUUGUGUGGCCUUUCCAUGGGAGGGCCCCUGCGGGAUCUGUGGAGUUCCAGACUUUUUCCUUUGGAGACAGAAGAAGUGACGCUGGGGAAAGAGUGAAAGAGAGGCACCACGGAGACCUGAUAACUUUGUGCAAGGACCAAGAGGUGAAAUUCACAUAACGUAAAAGCAACCAUUUUAAAGUGAGCUGUUCAGCGGUAUUUAGGGCAUUUCCACAGUCAGACAACUCUGUCUGGUCCCCAGACGUUUUCAAUGCCUCGAAAGUGGAAACUCGCCUGUUCUGCCUUGUAUCAUCACCUCCUGGGCAAAGCCAUGUGGAAUGCACACAAAGUAGUGAAUGGAGUUGUAAGCGAGCUGCAGAUGAGGGGCAA
Molecule: long non-coding RNA, 684 nt
Organism: Leopardus geoffroyi (Geoffroy's cat)
Lineage: Eukaryota; Metazoa; Chordata; Mammalia; Carnivora; Felidae
Exons: 3
Source: RefSeq, a predicted model, not a curated record